Molecule: ribosomal RNA, 439 nt
Filed under: uncultured bacterium
Lineage: Bacteria
Description: partial 16S ribosomal RNA
Rfam family: Bacterial small subunit ribosomal RNA
Source: RNAcentral
CUACGGGGGGCACCAGUGGGGAAUAUUGCACAAUGGAGGAAACUCUGAUGCAGCAACGCCGCGUGGAGGAUGACACUUUUCGGAGCGUAAACUCCUUUUAUAUAGGAAGAAGAUGACGGUACUAUAUGAAUAAGCGCCGGCUAACUCCGUGCCAGCAGCCGCGGUAACACGGAGGGCGCAAGCGUUACUCGGAAUCACUGGGCGUAAAGAGCGUGUAGGCGGAUUAAAAAGUCAGAAGUGAAAUCCUAUAGCUUAACUAUAGAACUGCUUCUGAAACUCUUAAUCUAGAAUAUGGGAGAGGUAGAUGGAAUUUCUGGUGUAGGGGUAAAAUCCGUAGAGAUCAGAAGGAAUACCGAUUGCGAAGGCGAUCUACUAGAACAUUAUUGACGCUGAGACGCGAAAGCGUGGGGAGCAAACAGGAUUAGAUACCUUCGUAGUC